AGAGUUUGAUCCUGGCUCAGGAUGAACGCUGGCGGCAUGCCUAAUACAUGCAAGUCGAACGAGGAUCCUUCGGGAUCCUAGUGGCGAACGGGUGAGUAACACGUAGGGAACCUGCCCGCGCACCGGGAAUACGCUCUGGAAACGGAGAACAAAUCCCGAUGUACAGGAAGGAGGCAUCUUCUUUCUGUGAAACAUCCUGUAAGGGAUGGGGCGCGGAUGGACCUGCGGUGCAUUAGUUGGUUGGCGAGGGUAAAGGCCCACCAAGACGAUGAUGCAUAGCCGGCCUGAGAGGGCGGACGGCCACAUUGGGACUGAGACACGGCCCAGACUCCUGCGGGAGGCAGCAGUAGGGAAUUUUCGUCAAUGGGCGCAAGCCUGAACGAGCGAUGCCGCGUGAGUGAAGAAGGCCUUCGGGUCGUAAAGCUCUGUUGCGGGGGAAAAAAGCAUCUGUAGGAAAUGGUAGAUGACAGAUGGUGCCCCGCCAGAAAGUCACGGCUAACUACGUGCCAGCAGCCGCGGUAAUACGUAGGUGGCGAGCGUUAUCCGGAAUGAUUGGGCGUAAAGGGUGCGCAGGCGGUCCUGCAAGUCUGGAGUGAAACGUAUGAGCUCAACUCAUGCAUGGCUCUGGAAACUGGAGGACUGGAGAGCAGGAGAGGGCGGUGGAACUCCAUGUGUAGCGGUAAAAUGCGUAGAUAUAUGGAAGAACACCAGUGGCGAAGGCGGCCGCCUGGCCUG
Molecule: ribosomal RNA, 735 nt
Filed under: uncultured bacterium
Lineage: Bacteria
Description: bacterial SSU rRNA
Rfam family: Bacterial small subunit ribosomal RNA
Source: RNAcentral